Molecule: ribosomal RNA, 1295 nt
Filed under: Halobacterium sp. HiM7
Lineage: Archaea; Methanobacteriati; Methanobacteriota; Halobacteria; Halobacteriales; Halobacteriaceae
Description: bacterial SSU rRNA
Rfam family: Archaeal small subunit ribosomal RNA
Source: RNAcentral
GCGGAGAGCGUCAUUAACACGUGGCCAAACUACCGUGUGGAUGGGAACAAUCUCGGGAAACUGAAGCUAAUUCCCAAUAACGCUCCGCCCCUGGAACGGGCGGAGCUGGAAACGCUACGGCGCCACAAGAUGUGGCUGCGGUCGAUUAGGUAGACGGUGGGGUAACGGCCCACCGUGCCAAUAAUCGGUACGGGUUGUGAGAGCAAGAGCCCGGAGACGGAAUCUGAAACAAGAUUCCGGGCCCUACGGGGCGCAGCAGGCGCGAAACCUUUACACUGUACGCAAGUGCGAUAAGGGGACUCCGAGUGUGAAGGCAUAGAGCCUUCACUUUUGUACGCCUUAAGGUGGUGUACCAAUAAAGGCUGGGAAAGACCGGUGCCACCCCCCCCGGUAAUACCGGCGGCCCGAGUGAUGGCCGAUAUUAUUGGGCCUAGAGCGACCUUGUCUGGUCGGACGAGUCCAUUGGGAAAUCUGUUCACGUAACUAGCGUGGGUCCGGUGCAAACUGUUCUGCUUGGGACCGGAAGACCUGAGGGGUACUUCCGGGGGUAGGAGUGAAAUCCUGUAAUCCUGGACGGACCACAGGCUGGCGAAAGCGCCUCACGAGGACGGAUCCGACAUUGAGGGACGAAAGCUAGGGUCUCGAACCGGAUUAGAUACCCGGGUAGUCCUAGCUGUAAACGAUGCCCGCUAGGUGUGGCGCAGGCUACGAGCCUGCGCUGUGCCGUAGGGAAGCCGAGAAGCGGGCCGCCUGGGAAGUACGUCUGCAAGGAUGAAACUUAAAGGAAUUGGCGGGGGAGCACUACAACCGGAGGAGCCUGCGGUUUAAUUGGACUCAACGCCGGACAUCUCACCAGCUCCGACAGUAGUAAUGACGGUCAGGUUGAUGACCUUACCCGAUGCUACUGAGAGGAGGUGCAUGGCCGCCGUCAGCUCGUACCGUGAGGCGUCCUGUUAAGUCAGGCAACGAGCGAGACCCGCACUCCUAAUUGCCAGCAGUACCCUUUGGGUAGCUGGGUACAUUAGGUGGACUGCCGCUGCCAAAGCGGAGGAAGGAACGGGCAACGGUAGGUCAGUAUGCCCCGAAUGAGCUGGGCAACACGCGGGCUACAAUGGUCGAGACAAUGGGAUGCAACUCCGAGAGGAGGCGCUAAUCUCCUAAACUCGAUCGUAGUUCGGAUUGAGGGCUGAAACUCGCCCUCACGAAGCUGGAUUCGGUAGUAAUCGCGUGUCAGAAGCGCGCGGUGAAUACGUCCCUGCUCCUUGCACACACCGCCCGUCAAAGCACCCGAGUGG